This 922-nucleotide ribosomal RNA is filed under the name uncultured bacterium. Its description in RNAcentral is "bacterial SSU rRNA". It matches the Rfam family "Bacterial small subunit ribosomal RNA", at positions 459 to 1382 of the family's 1533-position model. The record is from RNAcentral.
GAGUAAUCCGAUGAGAGUACUGUAUGAAUAAGGAUCGGCUAACUCCGUGCCAGCAGCCGCGGUAAUACGGAGGAUCCGAGCGUUAUCCGGAAUUAUUGGGUUUAAAGGGUGCGUAGGCGGCCAUUUAAGUCAGCGGUGAAAUUUUGCAGCUUAACUGUAACAGUGCCGUUGAUACUGUUUGGCUAGGAUUUGGUUGUAGUGUGCGGAAUGUGUGGUGUAGCGGUGAAAUGCUUAGAUAUCACACAGAACACCGAUUGCGAAGGCAGCACACUAAGUCAUUAUUGACGCUGAGGCACGAAAGUGUGGGGAUCAAACAGGAUUAGAUACCCUGGUAGUCCACACUGUAAACCAUCAAAAGUCGCUGUCGGCGAUACCACAGUCGGUGGCCAAGCGAAAAGCAUUAAGUUAUCCACCUGGGGAGUACGACCGCAAGGUUGAAACUCAAAGGAAUUGACGGGGGCCCGCACAAGCGGAGGAACAUGUGGUUUAAUUCGAUGAUACGCGAGGAACCUUACCCGGGCUCGAACGGUGCAUGAAUAUACGAGAGAUUGUAUAGUCCUUCGGGACAUGUAUCGAGGUGCUGCAUGGUUGUCGUCAGCUCGUGCCGUGAGGUGUCGGCUUAAGAACCAUAACGAGCGCAACCCUUGUCAUUAGUUGCCAUCAGGUCAAGCUGGGGACUUUAAUGAGACUGCCACCGUAAGGUGUGAGGAAGGGGGGGAUGACGUCAAAUCAGCACGGCCCUUAUGUCCGGGGCGACACACUUGUUACAAUGGGAGGUACAGAGGGCAGCUAUCCGGUGACGGAAUGCUAAUCUCCAAAACCUUUCUCAGUUCGGAUUGGAGUCUGCAACUCGACUCCAUGAAGGUGGAUUCGCUAGUAAUCGCGCAUCAGCCAUGGCGCGGUGAAUACGUUCCCGGGCCUU